UCUUUUUUUGGGGCGGCGCCGCCCGGACGCGGCAAUUCCAGCUCCAAUAGCGUAUAUUAAAGUUGUGUUUGGUUAGCAGGUUAAAAGCUCGUAGUUGAACCUUGGGUCUGGCUGGCCGGUCCGCCUCACCGCGAGUACUGGUCCGGCUGGACCUUUCCUUCUGGGGAACCUCAUGGCCUUCACUGGCUGUGGGGGGAACCAGGACUUUUACUGUGAAAAAAUUAGAGUGUUCAAAGCAGGCCUUUGCUCGAAUACAUUAGCAUGGAAUAAUAGAAUAGGACGUGCGGUUCUAUUUUGUUGGUUUCUAGGACCGCCGUAAUGAUUAAUAGGGAUAGUCGGGGGCGUCAGUAUUCAGCUGUCAGAGGUGAAAUUCUUGGAUUUGCUGAAGACUAACUACUGCGAAAGCAUUCGCCAAGGAUGUUUUCAUUAAUCAGGGAACGAAAAGUUAGCCCUACGAAGACGAUCAGAUACCGUCGUAGUCUUAACCAUAAACUAUGCCGACUAGGGAUCGGGCGGGUGUUUCUAUGAUGACCCGCUCGGCCACCCUUACGAGAAAAUCAAAAGUUUUUUGGGGUUCUGGGGGGGAGUAUGGUCCCCAAGGCUGAAAACUUAAAAGAAAAUUGACGGAAGGGGCACCACAAGGCGUGGAGCCUGCGGCUUAAUUUUGACUCAACACGGGGGAAACUCACCAGGUCCAGACAAAAUAAGGAUUGACAGAUAGAGAGCUCUUUCUUGAUCUUUUGGAUGGUGGUGCAUGGCCGUUCUUAGUUGGUGGAGUGAUUUGUCUGCUGAAUUGCGAUAACGAACGAGACCUCGGCCCUUAAAUAGCCCGGUCCGCGUUUGCGGGCCGCUGGCUUCUUAAGGGGACUAUCGGCUCAAGCCCAUGGAAGGUGCGCGGCCAUCACCGUCGUGUGGGGCUUCGAAAAAAAAAAAAAAAA
RNAcentral lists this ribosomal RNA (938 nucleotides) under Aspergillus flavus. RNAcentral's name for it is "partial small subunit ribosomal RNA". It matches the Rfam family "Eukaryotic small subunit ribosomal RNA", at positions 572 to 1433 of the family's 1831-position model. The record is from RNAcentral. Lineage: Eukaryota; Fungi; Ascomycota; Eurotiomycetes; Eurotiales; Aspergillaceae.